Molecule: long non-coding RNA, 557 nt
Organism: Suricata suricatta (meerkat)
Lineage: Eukaryota; Metazoa; Chordata; Mammalia; Carnivora; Herpestidae
Exons: 2
Source: RefSeq, a predicted model, not a curated record
AGUUGGGUAUUGGGUCGCUUUUGAUGGAAAGAAUUCUGCCUACAAAGCAAUACUAUUCACCGUCCAGGAUUGUCGUGAAGUUUAGAGGCUGUGGAGGACCGUCCACACUGGCCUGAUGGGUCCCAGGACUCUCAAAGCAGCACUCGGGGGCUGCUUUUUCCACCUUUAUGUCUACACUGCUGGCUCUACCCACCUGCCCAGCCUCUGCUCCGCGCUGCUCUCUCCUGCGCCUCUGGGUGAUCGGAUGCUAACACCUGCUGUGCCGAGAGCUGAUCUCCGCCUGCCUGAGCUCAGAGGUCCAGCCCCUCUGCUGUGAGGCGCUGCGCAAGCUGCCCACACACAGCCAGUGGCAUUUCGGCAGCCGCCGCAGACUGUCACCCACUGCACCCACCUGCUCCUCUGUGCAUGACGUUCAAGAUCCACCCACCUGGUCCUUCCACAGCCUCCCCAUGUCUGUGAAGGGGAUUCCUUCGUGCCUCUUGCUCAGGCCCAAGACCUGUCUUCUUUCUCUCAUGCCACGCUCUACUCCAUUCAGAAACCUCAGUGCUCCCUUCCAA